CCUACGGGUGGCAGCAGUGGGGAAUAUUGCACAAUGGGGGAAACCCUGAUGCAGCGACGCCGCGUGAGUGAAGAAGUAUUUCGGUAUGUAAAGCUCUAUCCGCAGGGAAGAAAAUGACGGUAACAGUUUAAGAAGCCCCGGCUAACUACGUGCCAGCAGCCGCGGUAAUACGUAGGGGGCAGGCGUUAUCCGGAUUUACUGGGUGUAAAGGGAGCGUAGACGGCAGCUCAAGUCUGGAGUGAAAGGCCGGGGCUUAACCCCGGAACUGCUUUGGAAACUGUGCAGCUAGAGUGCAGGAGAGGUAAGUGGAAUUCCUAGUGUAGCAGUGAAAUGCGUAGAUAUUAGGAGGAACACCAGUGGCGAAGGCGGGUUACUGGACUGUAACUGACGUUGAGGCUCGAAGGCGAGGGGAGCAAACGGGAUUAGAUACCCCUGUAGUC
This 440-nucleotide ribosomal RNA is filed under the name uncultured bacterium. Its description in RNAcentral is "partial 16S ribosomal RNA". It matches the Rfam family "Bacterial small subunit ribosomal RNA", at positions 338 to 795 of the family's 1533-position model. The record is from RNAcentral.